This 68-nucleotide transfer RNA is filed under the name Phrynosoma platyrhinos (Desert horned lizard). RNAcentral describes it as "tRNA-OTHER". It matches the Rfam family "tRNA". From Rfam's summary of the family: Transfer RNA (tRNA) molecules are approximately 80 nucleotides in length. Their secondary structure includes four short double-helical elements and three loops (D, anti-codon, and T loops). Lineage: Eukaryota; Metazoa; Chordata; Lepidosauria; Squamata; Phrynosomatidae. The record is from RNAcentral.
UGAGCAUGGCAUAGUGGUUUGAGUGUUGGACUCUGACUCUAGAGGCCAGGGUUUGAUUCCCUGCUCAG